RNAcentral lists this long non-coding RNA (968 nucleotides) under Vigna radiata. Its description in RNAcentral is "long non-coding RNA (VRAD_LNC010090)". The record is from RNAcentral. Lineage: Eukaryota; Viridiplantae; Streptophyta; Magnoliopsida; Fabales; Fabaceae.
GAGCAGAGACUCAAAGUGCUUGGGUUGAAGAUGAUGGGAGAGAUGGUUUUCUGGUAUAUACUGUGGGGAUAAAAGGAAGUGGAUAUCGAACUAGAUUGUGUUUGGGAAUGAUUUAGGAUAACAAAUGGGAAGCAUGAUGGAGAUUAAGGUUAAUUUUUGUCUCUCUAUUUUUGUUUGAGUAUAUGUAGAUGAGGUGUUUGUGAUAAGAGUUUGAUGCUUCAAGAAUUGGGAUGAAAUGGUAGUGAACAAAAGGGGUGUCUGUUCUUGUGAUUGGGCAUGAUGGAGGAAUUGGUUUNGAAAGGGAGUGAUACUAUUGUGUGAAUGGAGGACUAAUUUAUUUUUUUUUAUGAGCGGUGUUUUACGAAUCAAUGAAGGAACGUUUUGUAAAUAAUGUGAGAGGUGUCUGAUGGUUGGGGUUGGAAGAAUGAUGAUGAUUGUGAAGGUGAUGGAGGUAGAGAAUGAGUUUCGUUGUGUGUGUGUUGGUGGUGAGAUGUAGUGUGAGUGAUUUUUGUUGAGGUGGUCAUGGAGAAUUGGAGAUGAAAAUUCCCAAGUGAGUGAAGAAAGGUGAGUCCAUAUAGGAAUUGAGGGUAGAGUGGGAGAUGAAUCCAGGAUUCCCCUGAUGUCUGUUAUGUGUGCAUUUUUAUUGUUAGGAAACGAAAGAUGAGGAAGGAUCCCCUGGUUGUGUGUGAUGGUUGUAGGGANCCGCGGGAGGGGGGUCCGUGCAUGAGGGAGGAUGAAUUCUGUUAUGUGGUGAGGGAGAAAAUCCUUUUUUGAUGGGUCCUCCCCUCUCAAACCUUGUUGUGCUCUGUAUAUCAAUGUUCACUCUCUGCCCAUUUCCUCUGCCAAUCCAUAUCGUGUCUGCCAACCCAACUGUGCCUGCAAAANUCGUUUCUUGCUCCCUCGCUGUCCAACCCCGUACACACUGCCUAUCCCCAGCCAAAACCUUUCUUUUUCUUUUUACUUUACUU